Lupinus angustifolius (narrow-leaved blue lupine) is the source of this 64-nucleotide non-coding RNA. NCBI's taxonomy places the organism in Eukaryota, Viridiplantae, Streptophyta, Magnoliopsida, Fabales, Fabaceae. The record is from Rfam.
GUUUUAAACUUGAUCUCUGAACUUCAGGUGAGUUCAUGUGUUGACUUGUUCAUUUACCGAUGCU